CCUACGGGUGGCAGCAGUGGGGAAUAUUGGGCCAUGGGCGCAAGCCUGACCCAGCGACGCCGCGUGAGGGAAGACGGUCUUCGGAUUGUAAACCUCUUUCAGCAGGGAAGACAAAAGGACGGUACCUGCAGAAGAAGCCACGGCUAACUACGUGCCAGCAGCCGCGGUAAUACGUAGGUGGCAAGCGUUAUCCGGAAUUACUGGGUGUAAAGGGUGUGUAGGCGGGUUUGCAAGUCAGAUGUGAAAACUCAGGGCUCAACCCUGAGCCUGCAUUUGAAACUGUGUUUCUUGAGUGCUGGAGAGGCAAUCGGAAUUCCGUGUGUAGCGGUGAAAUGCGUAGAUAGACGGAGGAACACCAGUGGCGAAGGCGGAUUGCUGGACAGUAACUGACGCUGAGGCGCGAAAGCGUGGGGAGCAAACAGGAUUAGAUACCCCGGUAGUC
Molecule: ribosomal RNA, 442 nt
Filed under: uncultured bacterium
Lineage: Bacteria
Description: partial 16S ribosomal RNA
Rfam family: Bacterial small subunit ribosomal RNA
Source: RNAcentral